GACUGAAUAAGAAUCGAGGCAGAUGAAAUCGAACAACGGUAACAAAAUGGUAGCAGCAGAUGAAAUAGAACAAUUGUGGCACGCAGCUGAAACGAAGCAGUAGAUUAAAUCGAAGAACAGGGCUGCUCCUUGUCAAGAUCAAUCGAACAACGGUGAAAAAGUACAAUGCGUGCAGCGGUGAGGUGGUGGACACAGCUACAACGACGAUUAACUGCAGCUGCUCCUUCUCGUUCUCCAGUUGAACCACUGGUCAAAAGCCGUGCGUCGGAGCGGCUGAUGGCUACCUUUACAGAUGCGUGCUUUGAUAUCUAGAGAGGGUGAAUUUGUA
This 328-nucleotide long non-coding RNA is filed under the name Manihot esculenta (cassava). RNAcentral's name for it is "long non-coding RNA (MESC_LNC012063)". The record is from RNAcentral. Lineage: Eukaryota; Viridiplantae; Streptophyta; Magnoliopsida; Malpighiales; Euphorbiaceae.